RNAcentral lists this transfer RNA (69 nucleotides) under Tryonicus mackerrasae. Its description in RNAcentral is "tRNA-Asp". The record is from RNAcentral. Lineage: Eukaryota; Metazoa; Arthropoda; Insecta; Blattodea; Tryonicidae.
AAGGAAUUAGUUAAAUAUAAAUAAUAAUAUCUUGUCAAGAUAAAGUAAUCACCUUUAUGAUAUUCCUUU